Molecule: ribosomal RNA, 1544 nt
Filed under: Candidatus Calescibacterium sp.
Lineage: Bacteria; Candidatus Calescibacteriota; Candidatus Calescibacteriales; Candidatus Calescibacteriaceae
Description: bacterial SSU rRNA
Rfam family: Bacterial small subunit ribosomal RNA
Source: RNAcentral
GCCAAGGAGGGUUUGAUCGUGGCUCAGGGCGAACCCUGGCGGCGCGCCUCACCCAUGCAAGCCGAGCGACACAGGUCGGGCAACCGGCCUGUGGAGCGGCGAACGGCCGAGUAAUACACAGGUAACCUACCCUCAGGAAGGGGAUAACCUGGGGAAACCCAGGCUAAUACCCUAUAAGCCCACAUCUCGGAUGGGAUGUGGGAAAAGGGUGCCAGGGUAAAACCUGGUGCCGCCUGAGGAUGGGCCUGUGUCCCAUCAGCUAGUUGGUGGGGUAAUGGCCCACCAAGGCUAUGACGGGUAGCCGACCUGAGAGGGUGGUCGGCCGGACCGGCACUGAGACACGGGCCGGACUCCUACGGGAGGCAGCAGGGGGGAAUCUUGGGCAAUGGGUGAAAGCCUGACCCAGCGACGCCGCGUGCGGGAAGAAGCCCUUCGGGGUGUAAACCGCUGUCGGGAGGGACAAAGAGCUCCCCAAAAGGGAGCUUGAUGGUACCUCCGGAGGAAGGGACGGCUAACUCCGUGCCAGCAGCCGCGGUAAUACGGAGGUCCCAAGGGUUGCCCGGAGUGACUGGGCGUAAAGGGUCCGUAGGCGGCCUGGUAAGUCUCCCGUGAAAGCUGCCCGCUCAACGGGCAGAGGUCGGGAGAUACUGCUGGGCUCGGGACCGGCAGGGGGGACCGGAAUUCCCGGUGUAGCGGUGAAAUGCGUAGAUAUCGGGAGGAACGCCGAUGCCGAAGGGGGGUCCCUAGGCCGGCUCCGACGCUGAGGGACGAAAGCUGGGGGAGCGAACCGGAUUAGAGACCCGGGUAGUCCCAGCCGUCAACGAUGGGUGCUAGGGGGCGGGGUAAAUCCUCGCGCCCGAAGCUAACGCGUUAAGCACCCCGCCUGGGGAGUACGGCCGCAAGGCCGAAACUCAAACGAAUUGACGGGGACCCGAACAAGCCGCGGUGCAUUUGGUUUAAUUCGAUGCAGCGCGAAGAACCUUACCCGGGCUUGACAUGCCAGCUCAAGCCUGCCCGAAAGGGUAAGGUGGGCUGGGCGAUAAGUCCAGCCAGCUGGCACAGGUGCUACAUGGCUGUCGUCAGCUCGUGCCGUGAGGCGUCGGGUUAAGUCCCAGAACGAGCGCAACCCCUGCCCGCUGUUGCCAUUCCCCGAGAGGGGAGGCACUCUGCGGGGACUGCCGGCGAAGAGUCGGAGGAAGGAGGGGACGACGUCAAGCCCGCAUGGCCCUUAUGCCCGGGGCUACACAAGUGCAACAAUGGCCGGGACAAAGGGAUGCGAGGCCGCAAGGCUGAGCAAAUCCCAAAAACCCGGUCUCAGUUCGGAUCGGGGUCUGCAACCCGACCCCGUGAAGGCGGAGUGGCUAGUAAUCGCGGAUCAGCUACGCCGCGGUGAAUACGUUCCCGGGUCCUGUACACACCGCCCGUCACGCCAUGGAAGUCACCUGCACAGGAAAUCCCCAAAAGGGACGAAUGUGUGGGUGGCGACUGGGGCGAAGUCGUAACAAGGUACCCCUACCGGAAGGUGGGGGUGGAUCACCUCCUUU